CGGGAUGUGGCCCAGUUUGGUCUAGGGCGCCGGUCUGGGGGACCGGAGAUCCGCGGUUCGAAUCCGCGCAUCCCGACCA
RNAcentral lists this transfer RNA (79 nucleotides) under Euzebya pacifica. RNAcentral describes it as "Euzebya sp. DY32-46 tRNA-Pro". It matches the Rfam family "tRNA". From Rfam's summary of the family: Transfer RNA (tRNA) molecules are approximately 80 nucleotides in length. The record is from RNAcentral. Lineage: Bacteria; Bacillati; Actinomycetota; Nitriliruptoria; Euzebyales; Euzebyaceae. RNAcentral also lists the same sequence under 1 other name.